Molecule: long non-coding RNA, 225 nt
Filed under: Lathyrus oleraceus (garden pea)
Lineage: Eukaryota; Viridiplantae; Streptophyta; Magnoliopsida; Fabales; Fabaceae
Description: Pisum sativum (pea) long non-coding RNA (PSAT_LNC039717)
Source: RNAcentral
GUUCACCUUCAACCCUCCACAACAACUCUUCCAAAUCCAUCGGUGGAUACCGACCCACCCAGUAGUGAACAACAGCGGAUUUGUUCCUUCCCCAACAAUCGCUGUCGGUUCCAGCUCGAAUCACCUUCGACAGCAACAACCAAAUCACCUCGUCGUGCCACGAAACCGCCGGUAAAAGCUAUUCAAAGAAGGAGCCAGCCCAAUAAUUUCACGUCUGCUUCAAUA